RNAcentral lists this ribosomal RNA (122 nucleotides) under Oryctolagus cuniculus (rabbit). Lineage: Eukaryota; Metazoa; Chordata; Mammalia; Lagomorpha; Leporidae. The record is from RNAcentral.
GUCUACGGCCAUACCACCCUGAACACGCCCGAUCUCGUCUGAUCUCGGAAGCUAAGCAGGGUCAGGCCUGGUUAGUACUUGGAUGGGAAACUGAAAGGUUAGAGGGGCCGGCGUCAUGGUUC